Molecule: ribosomal RNA, 390 nt
Filed under: uncultured bacterium
Lineage: Bacteria
Description: bacterial SSU rRNA
Rfam family: Bacterial small subunit ribosomal RNA
Source: RNAcentral
GACGAACGCUGGCGGCGUGCUUAACACACGCAAGUCGAGCGGAAAGGCCCUUCGGGUACUCGAGCGGCGAACGGGUGAGUAACACGUGGGUAACCUGCCCCUUGCUCUGGGAUAACUCCGGGAAACCGGGGCUAAUACCGGAUACGACCACUUUAGGCAUCUUCGGUGGUGGAAAGUUUUUCGGUCGAGGGAUGGACCCGCGGCCUAUCAGCUUGUUGGUGGGGUAAUGGCCUACCAAGGCAGUGACGGGUAGCCGGCCUGAGAGGGCGACCGGCCACACUGGGACUGAGACACGGCCCAGACUCCUACGGGAGGCAGCAGUGGGGAAUAUUGCGCAAUGGGCGAAAGCCUGACGCAGCGACGCCGCGUGAGGGAUGACGGCCUUCGGUU